Long non-coding RNA from Carassius carassius (crucian carp), 429 nucleotides. RefSeq lists it as uncharacterized. The record is from RefSeq and is a predicted model, not a curated record. Lineage: Eukaryota; Metazoa; Chordata; Actinopteri; Cypriniformes; Cyprinidae. The transcript has 3 exons.
GUAUACUCAAAUGGCAAAUGAGUAUAAUUUACACAGUGCCAUUCAUUUAAAUGAUGUAAAACAGUAAAGAGAAGCUUUUUUGUUGCAGUAACUGCUGAAGCUACAGUUGGAGGGAACACUGAAUGAAAAGGAAGGUACUCUAGUCUAAAACCAAGCAAUGACCCCAUAAAUUACAUAAGCUUUGUUUUCAGAUAUAUUUACAGUGUUAAAACAAAUACUCUUGUCAUUAAGAGUUACACAGAUCUCUGCAGCUUAAAUGUGAGGACCUCCAGCUAGAGGCACAAAGGAAGCUUGAGCAGAACCAUCAUCUGAAAGAGGAAGCAUUAAAGCAGUACUGCUUUCAGAUCCAGGAGACCAAAUUAAAGCACAGAAAGAUUCGGAUUAAGUUUGAGAAUCGGCUUCAUCAAUUAAUGGAGCAGCAUAAAAACC